CCUACGGGUGGCUGCAGUGGGGAAUAUUGGACAAUGGGCGAAAGCCUGAUCCAGCCAUGCCGCGUGUGUGAGGAAGGCCUUCGGGUUGUAAAGCACUUUCAGUGGGGAAGAAAGCCUUGGGGCUAAUACCCUCGAGGAAGGACAUCACCCACAGAAGAAGCACCGGCUAACUCCGUGCCAGCAGCCGCGGUAAUACGGAGGGUGCGAGCGUUAAUCGGAAUUACUGGGCGUAAAGCGCGCGUAGGCGGUCUGAUAAGCCGGUUGUGAAAGCCCCGGGCUCAACCUGGGAACGGCAUCCGGAACUGUCAGGCUAGAGUGCAGGAGAGGAAGGUAGAAUUCCCGGUGUAGCGGUGAAAUGCGUAGAGAUCGGGAGGAAUACCAGUGGCGAAGGCGGCCUUCUGGACUGACACUGACGCUGAGGUGCGAAAGCGUGGGUAGCAAACAGGAUUAGAUACCCGUGUAGUC
RNAcentral lists this ribosomal RNA (465 nucleotides) under Vreelandella stevensii. Its description in RNAcentral is "partial 16S ribosomal RNA". It matches the Rfam family "Bacterial small subunit ribosomal RNA", at positions 338 to 795 of the family's 1533-position model. Lineage: Bacteria; Pseudomonadati; Pseudomonadota; Gammaproteobacteria; Oceanospirillales; Halomonadaceae. The record is from RNAcentral.